RNAcentral lists this transfer RNA (74 nucleotides) under Leptolyngbya valderiana BDU 20041. RNAcentral describes it as "tRNA-Asn". It matches the Rfam family "tRNA". Rfam says of the family: Transfer RNA (tRNA) molecules are approximately 80 nucleotides in length. Their secondary structure includes four short double-helical elements and three loops (D, anti-codon, and T loops). Lineage: Bacteria; Bacillati; Cyanobacteriota; Cyanophyceae; Leptolyngbyales; Leptolyngbyaceae. RNAcentral also lists the same sequence under 2 other names. The record is from RNAcentral.
UGCCUCAUAGCUCAACUUGGCAGAGCAACGCGCUGUUAACGCGAUGGUUGUUGGUUCGAGUCCAACUGGGGCAG